This 722-nucleotide ribosomal RNA is filed under the name Streptomyces sp. YIM 75789. RNAcentral describes it as "bacterial SSU rRNA". It matches the Rfam family "Bacterial small subunit ribosomal RNA", at positions 38 to 775 of the family's 1533-position model. Lineage: Bacteria; Bacillati; Actinomycetota; Actinomycetes; Kitasatosporales; Streptomycetaceae. The record is from RNAcentral.
GACUGCGCGUGCUACCAUGCAGUCGACGAUGACCACUUCGGUGGGGAUUAGUGGCGAACGGGUGAGUAACACGUGGGCAAUCUGCCCUGCACUCUGGGACAAGCCCUGGAAACGGGGUCUAAUACCGGAUACUGAUCAUCUUGGGCAUCCAAGGUGUUCGAAAGCUCCGGCGGUGCAGGAUGAGCCCGCGGCCUAUCAGCUUGUUGGUGAGGUAGUGGCUCACCAAGGCGACGACGGGUAGCCGGCCUGAGAGGGCGACCGGCCACACUGGGACUGAGACACGGCCCAGACUCCUACGGGAGGCAGCAGUGGGGAAUAUUGCACAAUGGGCGAAAGCCUGAUGCAGCGACGCCGCGUGAGGGAUGACGGCCUUCGGGUUGUAAACCUCUUUCAGCAGGGAAGAAGCGAAAGUGACGGUACCUGCAGAAGAAGCGCCGGCUAACUACGUGCCAGCAGCCGCGGUAAUACGUAGGGCGCGAGCGUUGUCCGGAAUUAUUGGGCGUAAAGAGCUCGUAGGCGGCUUGUCACGUCGGUUGUGAAAGCCCGGGGCUUAACCCCGGGUCUGCAGUCGAUACCGGCAGGCUAGAGUUCGGUAGGGGAGAUCGGAAUUCCUGGUGUAGCGGUGAAAUGCUCAGAUAUCAGAAGGACGACCGGGUGGGGAAAGGCGGAUCUUCUGGGCCCAUACUGACGCUGAAGGAGCGAAAGCGUGGGGGGGCGAACAA